Molecule: ribosomal RNA, 468 nt
Filed under: uncultured bacterium
Lineage: Bacteria
Description: partial 16S ribosomal RNA
Rfam family: Bacterial small subunit ribosomal RNA
Source: RNAcentral
GACGAACGCUGGCGGCGUGCUUAACACAUGCAAGUCGAACGGAAAGGCCCUGCUUUUGUGGGGUGCUCGAGUGGCGAACGGGUGAGUAACACGUGAGUAACCUGCCCUUGACUUUGGGAUAACUUCAGGAAACUGGGGCUAAUACCGGAUAGGAGCUCCUGCUGCAUGGUGGGGGUUGGAAAGUUUCGGCGGUGGGGGAUGGACUCGCGGCUUAUCAGCUUGUUGGUGGGGUAGUGGCUUACCAAGGCUUUGACGGGUAGCCGGCCUGAGAGGGUGACCGGCCACCUUGGGCCUGCGAUACGGCCCAGACUCCUACGGGAGGCAGCAGUGGGGAAUAUUGCACAAUGGGCGGAAGCCUGAUGCAGCAACGCCGCGUGCGGGAUGCCGGCCUUCGGGUUGUAAACCGCUUUCGCCUGUGACGAAGCGUGAGUGACGGUAAUGGGUAAAGAAGCACCGGCUAACUACGUG